AUUGAACGCUGGCGGCAGGCCUAACACAUGCAAGUCGAGCGGAUGAAGGGAGCUUGCUCCUGGAUUCAGCGGCGGACGGGUGAGUAAUGCCUAGGAAUCUGCCUGGUAGUGGGGGAUAACGUCCGGAAACGGGCGCUAAUACCGCAUACGUCCUGAGGGAGAAAGUGGGGGAUCUUCGGACCUCACGCUAUCAGAUGAGCCUAGGUCGGAUUAGCUAGUUGGUGGGGUAGAGGCCUACCAAGGCGACGAUCCGUAACUGGUCUGAGAGGAUGAUCAGUCACACUGGAACUGAGACACGGUCCAGACUCCUACGGGAGGCAGCAGUGGGGAAUAUUGGACAAUGGGCGAAAGCCUGAUCCAGCCAUGCCGCGUGUGUGAAGAAGGUCUUCGGAUUGUAAAGCGCUUUAAGUUGGGAGGAAGGGCAGUAAGUUAAUACCUUGCUGUUUUGACGUUACCAACAGAAUAAGCACCGGCUAACUUCGUG
Molecule: ribosomal RNA, 484 nt
Filed under: uncultured bacterium
Lineage: Bacteria
Description: partial 16S ribosomal RNA
Rfam family: Bacterial small subunit ribosomal RNA
Source: RNAcentral